Phyllostomus discolor (pale spear-nosed bat) is the source of this 2252-nucleotide long non-coding RNA. RefSeq lists it as uncharacterized. Lineage: Eukaryota; Metazoa; Chordata; Mammalia; Chiroptera; Phyllostomidae. The transcript has 3 exons. The record is from RefSeq and is a predicted model, not a curated record.
CAGGAAGAUUUAUGAGGGUCUUAAAAAUUACUUUUGGUGCCUCUAAACGGAUACGAUCAUGGUUUAUUCACAGUUUUCCAGUUCUGUUUUAUAUGCUUGCAUUUGAAUUAGGAGGACGCGUCGGAUAAUUUCAUCUGCUUAAUAUUUGACAAGUAAUUAAGCAAGGGUGUGUUCUAUAUCUGGAUGCACCGCACUGCUCGAGGCACCGGGGUCUGUGGGUGACAGGGCGGCAGAUGUGCUCCUUGGCCUUAAAAAGCUUUAAUCUCAUUAAAAAAGAGAAAGAUGUGGCUACGGGAAACCAACAAAUGAUUACCAGCUGUAAUUAUCUAGAAAAUUCUGAAGGCAACAUAUAAUCAAGUCCAUAAUGUAACGUGAGUUGCAUACAAAAUGCUGCUAGAACACACACGAGAGUCUGAGGCACGUUCAUUAAACCGAGAGGGUCUCUUGGAGAAGUGGAGUCGUGAGUUGGGCCUUGAAGGAAAUGUUGACAAUGGCCUUGUGCGGAGGACAGGAAAGAGAAGACGCCGGGCUGAGUCGGUGGAGAGGGAGGGACAGCCCCAGAGGAGGAGGCCAAGCAGGAGAGAGGGCAGUUGUGAUGAGGCUAACAGCGAGGACCGCCCGUUACUGAGUGCCUUACAGUGUUUGUAAAGCCGUUGGCGGGAGCUGUACAAUAGUUGUCUUAUUUAUAUCCUAAGUGCCCCGAUUUUACCUAGGAGAAAAAGGAGGCUUAGAGAAAUGAAUUAAUCCAGGUCAUGUAACUAAUGGCUUGUGCGAGGACCCCAGCCUCACGCCUUUGCGAUUUCUGUCCUCCCCGACCAGGGGCCAGGGGGGAAGGGGCAGGAGGACGUGGACAUGGGGGCCUUGCACGAGGGAGGGGCAGGAACCUGGAAACUCUCUGUUGCUGAAGCAGCACAGUGAAACCGGGGUCCUGUGGCUAGUACCGUCCCUUUAGACGAGGUGGUACAAGCACAGGCGGGGGACCACACGGGUGGAUUCGAAGGCUGUGAACACAGCCAGCCUCGCUCUUCCUGGGAAGCAUUCCAGUGAAGUUAAGAGCGAGACAAGGGCGUCCCCCAGGGCGCUGUCACUUAAAAUUCUUCUGGAGGCGACAGCCACUUUAAUUAGGUAAGGGAAUAAAAAAAGAGAAGAAAGAAAGAAAGUAAGAGGCAAAGUGAUCAUUAUUUGCCAAAGAUGUGAUUGUCCAUCUUUUUCUAGGGGCAGAAUCAAAACUCCAGAGAACCCAAAACUAUCCGAGAUAAGAGAUCCCAGAUGGCCAGUUAUAGACUUUUUAAAAAAUGCUUCUUUAAUACAAUGAGCAACUAAAAAUAUGAUGAAAGGCAUUCAAAAUGUUAACCCAAUUCCUAAGUGAUUUAUUCCUGGGAAUAAACUUGAAAGAAAUGUUCAGUGCUCAUAGGGGCGAAAGCAUAAAACCUACUGAGAGCUACAAAAGCACAUUUGAAAAUGGAGAAUUAUGUUGAGUAUCUAGAUAGAAAGUCCAAUAUAGUAAAGAGGUCAGUUCUCCCUAAAAUUAGUCUGUAAGUUUAGCAGAAUUCUAGUGGGAUUGCACCAUGAUUUUGGGGGUGGGAGGCAAUUUUUAAAGUAAUUCAUGAGUUCUUCUGAAAGAAAAAAUGUAUGAGCAUAUUUUGAGUUACUCCAAAAAGUAAGUAACGAGGGUGGAGAGGAUGGGGGCAUUUCUGCUUGUAAAUAAUCCAGUUAUUAGCUUAGUCAUCGUUAAAGUGGUGUUGUUCUGAUUCCAGGAGAGAGAGGUAAAUCACAUAGAAUGAGACCUAAACUACGUAAGAAUUGAAUUUAUUCUAUCAGAUAGGUCUAUGGUGAACUUUACAUCAAGUCUAGGUAGGUUAAACUUUUAAUUUAAAUAAGCGCAAAUGUAAAAGCAACAGAAAAGCUAUCAGUGACCAUGUAGUCUUGGGCGGAGAAGGCAAUUAUAAGCAUUACAAGAAAGCCAGAAAGAUUCGGUAGAUUGUACUACAUAAACAUCUAAAUGUGGGCAAAAACGAACCCUUUUGAAUGUAAGGACAAUGAAAGGGGGGAAGGUAUUCACAAGAUACUUGUUGGACAAAAGAUUCGUAUCCUGAGCACGAGAAAACAAGGGCAUCCACGUGGUAGGAAAACGGGUUGAGAAGGUGUUGUAUAGGCAAUUCACGAAAAAGAAAUGUAAACGAUUAGUCAACGUUAAUCAAUGUGCAAUGAAGGAUGGAUGAGGUGACGGGGAGGUCAGGAGCUCCAAGAGC